RNAcentral lists this ribosomal RNA (396 nucleotides) under uncultured bacterium. RNAcentral describes it as "bacterial SSU rRNA". It matches the Rfam family "Bacterial small subunit ribosomal RNA", at positions 30 to 431 of the family's 1533-position model. The record is from RNAcentral.
AUUGAACGCUGGCGGCAUGCCUUACACAUGCAAGUCGAACGGCAGCGCGGACUUCGGUCUGGCGGCGAGUGGCGAACGGGUGAGUAAUGUAUCGGAACGUACCAUUCAGUGGGGAUAACGCAGCGAAAGUUGCGCUAAUACCGCAUAUUCUGUGCGCAGGAAAGCAGGGGAUCGCAAGACCUUGCGCUGAUUGAGCGGCCGAUAUCAGAUUAGCUAGUUGGUGAGGUAAAGGCUCACCAAGGCGACGAUCUGUAGCGGGUCUGAGAGGAUGAUCGCCACACUGGAACUGAGACACGGUCCAGACUCCUACGGAGGCAGCAGUGGGAAUUUUGGACAAUGGGCGCAAGCCUGAUCCAGCCAUGCCGCGUGAGUUGAAGAAGGCCUCGGUUGUAAGAC